This is a long non-coding RNA of Struthio camelus australis, 3395 nucleotides long. RefSeq lists it as uncharacterized. NCBI's taxonomy places the organism in Eukaryota, Metazoa, Chordata, Aves, Struthioniformes, Struthionidae. The record is from RefSeq and is a predicted model, not a curated record.
UCUUCUGGCAAAGAAAUAACAAGGGAUAAUCUAAAGUGCUCUAAGCCACCAUCAGGAAGAAGAAUUAUUAUCUUUUCUUUUUACAAGAAAAAAGAACCUACAUUUAAGCUAAUAUUGACAGAUCUCUGCAGACCAGAAGAGAAACAAUCCCGCAGCCUCAGCAAAGCAAAGAGAUCAGUCUCUGACAUCCUUUCAGAGACCAGCUGCUGGUGAAAGAGAGCGGAGGAGCAGCGAGGCAGAGGAGCAGGCGUGUGCAGUGGAUAUUCCUGGAACCCAGCUGCCUGAAGGAUCUUCUCCUUAUCUCUCAUUUCCACUGAAGUCAUAAGCAUUGUGUUCUUGGAAGGAGUACCCUUGGGUUGGUUUGGGCAGCAUCAGGAAUGACUUGGCAGAACUACAGGAAGCAGAACAAGUUUACUACCAGCCAACCUGUGAUGGACAAAGUAGACAUCAGGCACCUGAAGACAUGUAGUUUUAUAAGAGCCUAUGUUAGGCCACACUUUUAGUUUGUACUGAGUUUCACUGACAUCUUCUAAAGUAUGGUUUUGUGGGGCUAGCACGCAUUUCACACCCUUUGCCCCUGUGGCUGGGAACUGUGCUGGUACUUUGAAGUUUUUUUCCAAGACGAUGGUAACAAAUAGAGGAUUCCUCACACUGGUUCAGGAGAUAUGACAAGUGAGAAUUGUCGGCUGGGAUGAAACUUUAUUUGCGGUCUGGUUCUAGAUCCAGACAGAUGUAAGUCUACUUGUUAGGGUAAUUCAAUUAAACUGUGGGGUUGCUACUAUUUUGUUUCUUAUUCUACAAUCUGUGUCUCUGGUGUUAGUCUCACACGUUAUUCACACUUUGAUUUCAAUUUGACUAAAGUCUUAAGGACAAAAGUCGUGCUUACUGAAAGGCUGUUCAAUCUCCAGGAUGAUGUAACCCUGCUCCUGACUCAAGCGCAGCUUGUUGCUAUUCUAACACAGAUGACAGUAUCAGUCUAGCAUGUUUGUAAAACAUGUCUCUAGGGCUCGAUCCAGAGGUGGUCAGUCCACACAAUUUCUGCUGAGACUGGUGGUGUUGGUAUGCUGUAGAGUGUGCUCUGUUACCUGAAGUAUCUAAUUCCAAGAUGUACUUCUGAAUAACCACUCCAGCACCUUGGGUUGUUUCAACAUGUACACUAUUCACUUAUCUGAAUACUUCAAAACAGGGCAAAUGAAGAAAGUAAAGUAUCAAACACAUGGGAUCCAGAGAUCUACACAUACCCAGGAGAACAGACUUUGAAUUUGGCUGGACAAAGACAAGCUGUGUGGAAAGAGAAAAUAUAGUUUCAUAUUGUCUUUGAUUUCUGGAAGAACAUGUCCUGUUGUUUAUCUGUUCAAACACUGCUGAAUAUGGAUGUACAUAUUUGGCAUUAAUAAAGGCCACUAAUCUGAGACAUGAGACAAAUUCUGUUUGCAAAUUGGCAGCUGAUUUCCUAUGCUAUAUUCUUCAGCAAGUCAUCUCACUUUCUUCACUUCCUUGUAUCCCUUUCUCCACGUUUUUGCUUUUGCUUUUUGCUUUAUGGAGCAUGAUCUGUCUCUCAGUAUGUAUCUAAUAUUAGACUCACUAUGAGUCUAAUAUUGGGUGGGGAAUGCUGAAGUAAUAGAAGUUAUUAUCCAUAACAGUGAAGCUAGUAAGAUGCUGAAAUGACUUACUUGGUCAGGGACAGAAUGCUGGUUUUAGGCAAACUCAUGAGACUUUCAGGCCUCGCCUGAUUUAGAUGAGUCUCUUACUGAAGAAUCUGAAUUGGUCAGUAAGCAUUCUCAUUGUCUCCAUUUUCUUUUUAAAGCUGCAAAAUUCAGCAAGCAGUAACAAUCAUUUUAGUGCUUCUUACAAUUUCGAUCAUGGAGUACUUGUUCAGCAGUAGAUUUUAAUAUGUCUUUCCAGAAAGCAAACUUAGGAAAGUGGCUGUAAUAGAUUUAAUUCCUUUUUUCUCCUAACGAGACUAACAGCACAGCUGCUGCAGACACUGGACAACUGCAGUUAAUAAAAUGAGCAUAUAUUGUUCAUAUUCCACUAGAGGCUGCUGUUUAGUUAGCAUUGAAAAUCUCCUCAUGCCUUCUGCCAAGCAGCUGAAAGGAUGUGGAGAGAAGGGGCAAAGUCCUGAGGCGGUGAACAAGCCACUUUUUAAAAAUAAUACUUUUGGAGAUGCAUGUUCUUCUGCCGUAUACUUUCUUUUUUGAAUACAUAGUCAGUGUCUGCUCAGUUUUUCAUGUCUAUUGCAGUUAAAAACACACUGACAGCAUUUGUAUAUUAUGAGUUUGUCCAGAAAUUCAAAAAAUAAACUAUGGCAUGCUUUCUUUCUGUAACAAGAUUUUAUUCAUUAUAGGAAAAAAAUAUAUUAUACAUCUGUAAAUCUAUGAAAUGAAUCUCACAAGUUAAGCUCUUUAGUAUUUUUAUGAAGCCAUUACAGUAUUUAUUACAAAAUGAAUAGAAGGAAGCCAGGCAGCAAGCUUAUGUACAUAAUGUAGGUCUUCCAUCUUGAUUAUUACUUUUCUUCCCCCACAGUGAAUCAUAUUAUAUAUGUGCAGUUGUGUUUAUAUAUAUUUACACAUUCUUCUCUUAGGGACACUUCUCUCUGAGACAUUUUGUGUAGGUCAAUCAAGCAAAGGACUUCCCUGGCUCUGGGCACAGAGACCCAGCUACCACUCUGAGACCCAGCUAACUGUCCUUGUAUGUAUGAUCUGUAUGUCUCCCAUGGCUUUAAAAAAAUCAGUAAUUUUUCUCCAAUAUAUGAACAAAGCAGGUCUAUACUGAUAUUCUCACAAAAACUGAUUUUCAAACAAAAAUUUUCUCAGUAUCAAUUUUUCUAGGGUAAUUUGACCGUUUAUAGCGAAUUCUAGACAAAGGUAUACAUUAACACAUCCAUGUAACAAUACUAAAAACUUACACCUUCUAAAAAGAAAUCCUGAUUAAAACCCUGACUUUCUCUUUUGGUUCAUAAAUUGCUUUUGUGAAACUGAAUUCAGAAUUUCUCUGUUAUCCCUAAGAAUGUUGUUUUGUGUCCUUGCAAUGACACAAACCUCCUCAGUAAAUAAAAACAUAGGUCAGGAUCUAGGCAUGAUGGCAACAGAAUCUGUAGAAAAAGAUCAUAUUUAAGCCACUUAAUGCAAUUUUUGAGCCAAUGUUCUGUUGUGUUGAUCCCAUUGUUUCUUUCAGGGGUCAGACUGUGACCAUGAUGGCCUUUGUAGACUGACUUACAUCCUGCUACUGAUUAGGGAAAUUCAUUACUUCUAAAGUUAUCUCUGUCUGUUCCAGUUUGCUGAAGACCUCUGUCUAGAAUUGCACUAUCAUGUUUUUAAGACAGCUUGAAUUUUGUAGUUUUUAAACUACUGUUCCUUACACUAUCUGGAUGCUAGAUAGUAUCCUUAGUCCUU